RNAcentral lists this ribosomal RNA (983 nucleotides) under Bacillus pumilus. RNAcentral describes it as "bacterial SSU rRNA". It matches the Rfam family "Bacterial small subunit ribosomal RNA", at positions 56 to 1028 of the family's 1533-position model. Lineage: Bacteria; Bacillati; Bacillota; Bacilli; Caryophanales; Bacillaceae. The record is from RNAcentral.
UGCAAGUCGAGCGGACAGAAGGGAGCUUGCUCCCGGAUGUUAGCGGCGGACGGGUGAGUAACACGUGGGUAACCUGCCUGUAAGACUGGGAUAACUCCGGGAAACCGGAGCUAAUACCGGAUAGUUCCUUGAACCGCAUGGUUCAAGGAUGAAAGACGGUUUCGGCUGUCACUUACAGAUGGACCCGCGGCGCAUUAGCUAGUUGGUGAGGUAACGGCUCACCAAGGCGACGAUGCGUAGCCGACCUGAGAGGGUGAUCGGCCACACUGGGACUGAGACACGGCCCAGACUCCUACGGGAGGCAGCAGUAGGGAAUCUUCCGCAAUGGACGAAAGUCUGACGGAGCAACGCCGCGUGAGUGAUGAAGGUUUUCGGAUCGUAAAGCUCUGUUGUUAGGGAAGAACAAGUGCAAGAGUAACUGCUUGCACCUUGACGGUACCUAACCAGAAAGCCACGGCUAACUACGUGCCAGCAGCCGCGGUAAUACGUAGGUGGCAAGCGUUGUCCGGAAUUAUUGGGCGUAAAGGGCUCGCAGGCGGUUUCUUAAGUCUGAUGUGAAAGCCCCCGGCUCAACCGGGGAGGGUCAUUGGAAACUGGGAACUUGAGUGCAGAAGAGGAGAGUGGAAUUCCACGUGUAGCGGUGAAAUGCGUAGAGAUGUGGAGGAACACCAGUGGCGAAGGCGACUCUCUGGUCUGUAACUGACGCUGAGGAGCGAAAGCGUGGGGAGCGAACAGGAUUAGAUACCCUGGUAGUCCACGCCGUAAACGAUGAGUGCUAAGUGUUAGGGGUUUCCGCCCCUUAGUGCUGCAGCUAACGCAUUAAGCACUCCGCCUGGGGAGUACGGUCGCAAGACUGAAACUCAAAGGAAUUGACGGGGGCCCGCACAAGCGGUGGAGCAUGUGUUUAAUUUCGAAGCAACGCGAGAACCUUACCAGGUCUGACAUCCUCUGACAACCCUAGAGAUAGGCUUUCCUUCGGGACA